UACGUAGGGGGCGAGCGUUAAUCGGAAUUACUGGGCGUAAAGCGUGCGCAGGCGGCUCUUCAAGUCAGAUGUGAAAGCCCCGGGCUUAACCUGGGAAUGGCGUUUGAAACUGGAGGGCUGGAGUGUGGCAGAGGGAGGUGGAAUUCCACGUGUAGCAGUGAAAUGCGUAGAUAUGUGGAGGAACACCGAUGGCGAAGGCAGCCUCCUGGGCCAACACUGACGCUCAUGCACGAAAGAGUGGGGAGCAAACAGG
RNAcentral lists this ribosomal RNA (253 nucleotides) under uncultured bacterium. RNAcentral describes it as "partial 16S ribosomal RNA". It matches the Rfam family "Bacterial small subunit ribosomal RNA", at positions 524 to 776 of the family's 1533-position model. The record is from RNAcentral.